CCUACGGGUGGCAGCAGUGGGGAAUAUUGGACAAUGGGGGCAACCCUGAUCCAGCCAUGCCGCGUGUGUGAAGAAGGCCCUCGGGUUGUAAAGCACUUUCAGUGAGGAAGAACGCCUGGUGGUUAAUACCCAUCAGGAAAGACAUCACUCACAGAAGAAGCACCGGCUAACUCCGUGCCAGCAGCCGCGGUAAUACGGAGGGUGCGAGCGUUAAUCGGAAUUACUGGGCGUAAAGCGCGCGUAGGUGGCUUGAUAAGCCGGUUGUGAAAGCCACGGGCUCAACCUGGGAACGGCAUCCGGAACUGUCAAGCUAGAGUGCAGGAGAGGAAGGUAGAAUUCCCGGUGUAGCGGUGAAAUGCGUAGAGAUCGGGAGGAAUACCAGUGGCGAAGGCGGCCUUCUGGACUGACACUGACACUGAGGUGCGAAAGCGUGGGUAGCAAACAGGAUUAGAUACCACGGUAGUC
This 465-nucleotide ribosomal RNA is filed under the name Vreelandella stevensii. RNAcentral's name for it is "partial 16S ribosomal RNA". It matches the Rfam family "Bacterial small subunit ribosomal RNA", at positions 338 to 795 of the family's 1533-position model. The record is from RNAcentral. Lineage: Bacteria; Pseudomonadati; Pseudomonadota; Gammaproteobacteria; Oceanospirillales; Halomonadaceae.